GGGAUAAGUGCUGCUAGCUGUGAGCUAAAUUUCUCUCAGCUAUAAAGAGUUGUUUUAUUCUGAGAUUCUGUAAAUAAAUGGGGGGGGUGUUAUUAAAACUUGUUGUGAAUCUGUUCCAGAAUGAAGCAGGUCACAUCUGGAACCUUGGAUAUCAUUUAGACUCGAACCCGUUAAGAUAGUCUGUGUGUGUGUGUGUGAGAGUGAGAUUCAUCAGUUUGAUCAGUUUCAGUCCCUUAGUUUCUCUGUGCUGCAGACAGGGUGAGUGUGCAGGGUGAGUGUGUGUGUGUUGUGUGUGAGUGUGAGUGUGUGUGAGUGUGUGUGAGUGGGAUUAGUGACUGUGGAAAGCCUGGAUUUGUGCUGGGGUUAUUUCGGUCCUCUUAUAUACGGAGAGAGAGUUAUAGCAGGUUACAGCGGCUUAUAGCAGGUUAUAGAGGCUUAUAGCAGGUUUCAAUGGCUUAUAGCAGGUUAUAGCGGCUUAUAGCAGGUUAUAGCGGCUUAUAGCAGGUUAUAGCGGCUUAUAGCAGGUUAUAGCGGCUUAUAGCAGGUUUCAAUGGCUUAUAGCAGGUUAUAGCGCCUUAUAGCAUGUUUCAACAGCUUAUAGCAGGUUACAGCGGGUUACGGCGUCUUAUAGCGGGUUACGGCGUCUUAUAGCGGGUUACGGCGUCUUAUAGCGGGUUACGGCGUCUUAUAGCUGGUUACGGCGUCUUAUGGCGGGUUACGGCGUCUUAUAGCGGGUUACGGCGGUUUACUGCGGGUCACAGUGGACAUGUUAGAGUUGCUUAUGUUGUAAAGCUGAUAAGUUUCUUUUUUUUCUUGAGUUUAAUCAUAAAAUGGAAGUGUUGCAGAUCUGCACACACACAGACUCAUGCACACACACAGAAGCAGAGAGUGUGUAACAGGAGGAAUGGGUGUGUAAAGGUGUGUUUGUGUCUAAUGGUCUUGUACUGUCAUUAUGCUAUCCAGGUAAAG
Molecule: long non-coding RNA, 969 nt
Organism: Ictalurus punctatus (channel catfish)
Lineage: Eukaryota; Metazoa; Chordata; Actinopteri; Siluriformes; Ictaluridae
Source: Ensembl